RNAcentral lists this small RNA (445 nucleotides) under Marinobacter sp. X15-166B. RNAcentral's name for it is "cspA thermoregulator". It matches the Rfam family "cspA thermoregulator". Lineage: Bacteria; Pseudomonadati; Pseudomonadota; Gammaproteobacteria; Pseudomonadales; Marinobacteraceae. The record is from Rfam by way of RNAcentral.
CAUUGGCUUUCGUAGGAACGAGUUAGCAAAGCAUUUCACGAAUAAGACGCUUCUGUUGUUGAUAGAUAGUAGUAAACCGUCCUGUUUUUGAUUCCGCGAGUCUUUUGUUUCCGCACCACGCUGAUCAGGGGUCAUUCCGACUGGCUGACGGCACAUUUAAAAUAUUGAUUUCAGGAAGUUUAUAUAUGUCUACUACUACCGGUACUGUUAAGUUUUUCAACGAAGCAAAAGGUUUUGGUUUCAUCACUCGUGAAAGCGGCCCGGACGUGUUCGUUCACUACAGCGCUAUCCAGGGCGGUGGCUUCAAGACUCUGGCAGAAGGCCAGCAGGUUGAAUUCACUGUAACUGACGGCCAGAAAGGUCCUCAGGCUGAGAACGUUGUUGCUCUGUAACUAGCAGACCAAACGUUUUGAAAAGAAAGGCAGCUUUGGCUGCCUUUUUUGUU